AUUGAACGCUGGCGGCAGGCCUAACACAUGCAAGUCGAACGAGUGGCGGACGGGUGAGUAAUGUCUGGGAAACUGCCCGAUGGAGGGGGAUAACUACUGGAAACGGUAGCUAAUACCGCAUACCAUCGGAUGUGCCCAGGUGGGAUUAGCUAGUAGGGGGGGUAACGGCUCACCUAGGCGACGAUCCCUAGCGGGUCUGAGAGGAUGACCAGCCCCACUUGAACUGAGACACGGUCCAGACUCCUACGGGAGUCAGCAGUGGGGAAUAUUGCACAAUGGGCGCAAGCCUGAUGCAUCCAGGCCGCUUGUAUGAAUAAGCCCUUCGGGUUGUAAAGUACUUUCAGCGAGGAGGCGUUACUCGCAGAAGAAGCACCGGCUAACUCCGUGCCAGCAGCCGCGGUAAUUC
This 406-nucleotide ribosomal RNA is filed under the name uncultured bacterium. RNAcentral's name for it is "partial 16S ribosomal RNA". It matches the Rfam family "Bacterial small subunit ribosomal RNA", at positions 30 to 526 of the family's 1533-position model. The record is from RNAcentral.